RNAcentral lists this ribosomal RNA (825 nucleotides) under uncultured Vibrio sp. RNAcentral describes it as "bacterial SSU rRNA". It matches the Rfam family "Bacterial small subunit ribosomal RNA", at positions 28 to 834 of the family's 1533-position model. The record is from RNAcentral. Lineage: Bacteria; Pseudomonadati; Pseudomonadota; Gammaproteobacteria; Vibrionales; Vibrionaceae.
AUUGAACGCUGGCGGCAGGCCUAACACAUGCAAGUCGAGCGGAAACGAGUUAUCUGAACCUUCGGGGAACGAUAACGGCGUCGAGCGGCGGACGGGUGAGUAAUGCCUAGGAAAUUGCCCUGAUGUGGGGGAUAACCAUUGGAAACGAUGGCUAAUACCGCAUGAUGCCUACGGGCCAAAGAGGGGGACCUUCGGGCCUCUCGCGUCAGGAUAUGCCUAGGUGGGAUUAGCUAGUUGGUGAGGUAAGGGCUCACUAAGGCGACGAUCCCUAGCUGGUCUGAGAGGAUGAUCAGCCACACUGGAACUGAGACACGGUCCAGACUCCUACGGGAGGCAGCAGUGGGGAAUAUUGCACAAUGGGCGCAAGCCUGAUGCAGCCAUGCCGCGUGUAUGAAGAAGGCCUUCGGGUUGUAAAGUACUUUCAGUCGUGAGGAAGGCGGCGUCGUUAAUAGCGGCGUUGUUUGACGUUAGCGACAGAAGAAGCACCGGCUAACUCCGUGCCAGCAGCCGCGGUAAUACGGAGGGUGCGAGCGUUAAUCGGAAUUACUGGGCGUAAAGCGCAUGCAGGUGGUUUGUUAAGUCAGAUGUGAAAGCCCGGGGCUCAACCUCGGAAUAGCAUUUGAAACUGGCAGACUAGAGUACUGUAGAGGGGGGGUAGAAUUUCAGGUGUAGCGGUGAAAUGCGUAGAGAUCUGAAGGAAUACCGGUGGCGAAGGCGGCCCCCUGGACCGACCCUGACUCUCAGAUGCGAAAGCGUGGGGUAGCAAACAUGUUUAUAUACCGGGGUAUUUCAAGGGGGGUUUCUUCCUUGGAUUUCACGCCUACU